CGCCUUUUGACUAUAAUAAAAGGUCCAGCCUGCCCAGUGAUAAAUUUAACGGCCGCGGUACCCUAACCGUGCAAAGGUAGCAUAAUCACUUGUUCUUUAAAUAAGGACUUGUAUCAACGGCAUCACGAGGGUUCUACUGUCUCCUCUCUCCAAUCAGUGAAACUGAUCUCCCCAUGAAAAAGUGGGGAUAAACUUAUAAGACGAGAAGACCCCAUGGAGCUUUAAAACCUAUAGCAACCUAGCAAAGCUAUAAAAUAAUGCUCAAGGACUUUAGGUUGGGAGGACCACGGAGCACAAAAUAACCUCCGUAAUGAAAAGAAUAAGAUCUUUACCAAAGAGCCACAACUCUAAGAAUUAGAAAACUAACGUACAUGACCCGAUAUCGAUCAAUGAACUAAGUUACCCUGGGGAUAACAGCGCAAUCCACUCUGAGAGUUCAUAUCGACGAGCGGGCUUACGACCUCGAUGUUGGAUCAGGGUAUCCUGGUGGUGCAGCCGCUACCGAAGGUUCGUUUGUUCAACGAUUAAAACCCU
Molecule: ribosomal RNA, 534 nt
Filed under: Raorchestes wynaadensis
Lineage: Eukaryota; Metazoa; Chordata; Amphibia; Anura; Rhacophoridae
Description: partial 16S ribosomal RNA
Rfam family: Bacterial large subunit ribosomal RNA
Source: RNAcentral